RNAcentral lists this ribosomal RNA (309 nucleotides) under uncultured eukaryote. RNAcentral's name for it is "partial 18S ribosomal RNA". It matches the Rfam family "Eukaryotic small subunit ribosomal RNA", at positions 1470 to 1796 of the family's 1831-position model. The record is from RNAcentral.
CCCUUAGAUGUUCUGGGCGGCCCGCGCACUACAUUGGCACUGGCAACAAGAUCCUAGAUCUGGUAUUUCGGGGUAUUCUACCAACUGGUGUCGUGACUGGGAUUAACCCCUCCAAUUAUUGGUUAUGAACGAGGAAUUCCUUGUAAUCACGGUUUAUCAACCCGUGUUGAAUGCGUCCCUGCCCUUUGUACACACCGCCCGUCGCUCCUACCGAUGAAUCGUCCGGUGAAGUUCAUGGAGUCGCGGCUGCUCCAGCUGUUUUCGAAGUGAAAUGGACCUCAUGAUUUAGAGGAAGGAGAAGUCGUAACA